AAGACAGGGCACAGACGUACAGGCAGCGAGGGACAAAUGGUUCCUGCCUGGGAGGGGGCUGGAGAGUGGCAGCAGUAUCCUGGAACAUCAAACAUGUUUGUAUACACAGUCGGGGAGCAUCACUUCAUGCUGACUUUGCUGGUUGCAAAAAUAAAUUCGGAGGCCCAUCAGUCAGAGAGAUAGCUUGUGAUGGAUUGAGCCCAGAGGUGUGUGAGCUGCCAUCCAGGGCUCAUCUGGCCCGUGACGGCCCUGAGGCGGUGGCUGUCACCAGCAGAGCACACUUCCUGCUCUUGGCUGUGGUUUCCGUUGGGCCGAGGUCAGCUAAUGAGGAUGUUAUCAGAUCGGAGUCUUCAGCCAGACACAGGCCUAGCCGCCGGCGCAUCUGAUUUGACCUUUUUUUCCACCUGUUCUCAAGAUGAACGACCAAGAGCCGCGCACAAUAUAGUCACAGGAGGUCAUGGAUAUUGUAUAUUAUUUCCAGGCAGUGAAUAACUGCAAAGGUGAAUGAGGCGAGGGAAUGUUAUUUAUGUGACACAAUUCAAUUUCAAAAGUAUAUGGGCUUUAGUUGACUGAUGGCUGAAUUUUCUAUGGUCGACAUCACCAGAUCCAAUUGACCGUUUGAAAAGGAGAACUCUGCUAUCGUUAUAUCAUUAUUUUUUUAUAUGCCAUGUAGAUUUUGGAUAGAAUUUAACCUGAGUUUGGCACUAGAGGCAAAGUUAAAGGAUCACCAAGGUGACUGCAAUUCAUCCAGAGGGGAACAUGAAUGCGUUCACCAGUUUCCAUGAAAGUCCAUUCGAUAGUUGUGGGGAAAUUUCACUGAAACCAUAAAUGUCAGCCCGCUGGUGUCGAUGGAGGAUUUGUCAGGCAUUUGCUCGCUAAAGUUGCAACAGAUGAGGACUUACAGCAACAACGGAAAUCCAUCUGUUUUACCUUCGGUCCUGAGACAACAGUAAACAUCACGGUGAGAUUCAGAUUAUGAGGAGCAUUUCUUCUACUGGCUGCAGAUCAAACCCCUCUGCAGUAAAAUAUAAACAUCCAUCGACAGCUUUACAGCAAGAAAAACCCUCGCACCAGAAAGACCUGAGAGGAAAUUGACUUUGUUUACGGUUUUGUACUAAUACAUUGAUAUAAUUAUCUCCACCGGAAGAGAGGCGUCUAGAAGCUGGAACCAAUUUUAUCUCUCAAUUGUCAUCUCCAAAACAGAGCAAUUCUGUCAUUUUGAAAGCCUCAUUCGGGGCCAUUAGUAUGCACAGUGAGGUGCACUUCAUCUUUCCCCACAGAGACCAAAUUAACUUCAAGCACUGCCAUUUCAGUGGUGUUGUUCAAUGGUUGACUCUGGGGGUAGGUGUUGUUUUUCUGCAGUUGGUUGCACACUCGGCUAGAGACGGUGGGGCUGUACACAUCACAUGACAUGUCAUCUACGUAUCUAUUACCCUAUCCAGUCAGUUGUUUAGGCAGAAAGCUGAAAGCUGAAUGUCUUCGGUGACGGCUAAUUUGCCUGCGUGGGAGUGAGAGGGCGCUGGGAGUGAUAAUUUCCCCCCUCCGAAAAAAUAUCAACAUAUCUGAUUUCGGGUGGGAGGGAGAGUGAUUUUCCAGAGUGAAUUUUCUUCCUUGCUGAGAGUAAGCAAAAGCCCUAUAUCAUCACAUUUUUGCCUUUUCAUUACAUUAUUGAUAAUUACCGAGCUAUUUCAAAAGAUUCAGCUUGUCUGUUGUUCAAAUACUCUGUCUGAAUAAACUAUGUUAAGUUUUAUAAUUUUUUUGUUCAGCCAAAUGUUAAAUAUUGCUCCUCCAAUACAAUGUCCAUCAGUGAUUCUUUUAUUGAACAGUUCCAAAGUUUUGGAUAUUUCAUGUCACUUGUCUUUUGUUUUGAAAUGUGUAUACAACGAUGGAUUUAAAAAGAUUUUACAAAUUAAAGCUUUGGUAGGAAGCGAGAUGCAAAGAUUAGCUGAGUGUGUGUGCAAACCAUAGGUGCAAUCAGAACAUACACUGUAAAUGGAAAGGACACGGAGCCACGUCAAAUUAUCUCUACUAUUUCUAUACACAAUGAACAUCCGUGAGUGUGUGACAAACUCACGCUUCACAUAGAUUAUAAUAAUAUCAUCAAUGUAAUAUUAUCACAGCAGCCGUCUACCAGAGCCCAUCCCUGCGCCCAGAGGUAAUAAAGAGGUGCGCUGCAACAUUAUUGUCCAUGUUUGAACUACACCGUGUCCCUUGACAGUCUGAGUGGCCGUGGCAUUUAUCAACACCUCACACAAAGCCCGGUGGCGCUGUCGCCUCAGGUGGGAGUAACUGGCAAAAUGAAAAAAAACGAAAGCCUCCAAGACAAUCUGACAGAGAGAACGAACCGAAGGUGGCCGACAGGAAACAUCACCAUGAAGG
Long non-coding RNA from Scophthalmus maximus (turbot), 2379 nucleotides. RefSeq lists it as uncharacterized. Lineage: Eukaryota; Metazoa; Chordata; Actinopteri; Pleuronectiformes; Scophthalmidae. The transcript is spliced from 3 exons. The record is from RefSeq and is a predicted model, not a curated record.